UGGCGGACGGGUGAGUAAUGUCUGGGAAACUGCCCGAUGAGGGGGAGUAACUACUGGGAACGGUAGCUAAUACCGCAUAACGUCGCAAGACCAAAGAGGGGGACCUUCGGGCCUCUUGCCAUCGGAUGUGCCCAGAUGGGAUUAGCUAGUAGGUGGGGUAAAGGCUCACCUAGGCGACGAUCCCUAGCUGGUCUGAGAGGAUGACCAGCCACACUGGAACUGAGACACGGUCCAG
Molecule: ribosomal RNA, 235 nt
Filed under: uncultured bacterium
Lineage: Bacteria
Description: partial 16S ribosomal RNA
Rfam family: Bacterial small subunit ribosomal RNA
Source: RNAcentral